AAGUCGUAACAAGGUUUCCGUAGGUGAACCUGCGGAAGGAUCAUUACCGAGAGUUGUAGGCUUCUGUCUACCAUCUCUUACCCAUGUCUUUUGCGUACUUAACGUUUCCUCGGCAGGUCCGCCUGCCGUAGGACAAUUAUAAACCAUUUGCAGUUGCAGUCAGCGUCUGAAAAACAUAAUAAUUACAACUUUUAACAACGGAUCUCUUGGUUCUG
Molecule: unclassified non-coding RNA, 215 nt
Filed under: Neoascochyta desmazieri
Lineage: Eukaryota; Fungi; Ascomycota; Dothideomycetes; Pleosporales; Didymellaceae
Also listed under: 1 other name
Description: partial internal transcribed spacer region
Rfam family: Eukaryotic small subunit ribosomal RNA (bases 1-46)
Source: RNAcentral